GACGAACGCUGGCGGCGUGCUUAACACAUGCAAGUCGAACGGAAAGGCCCUGCUUUUGUGGGGUGCUCGAGUGGCGAACGGGUGAGUAACACGUGAGUAACCUGCCCUUGACUUUGUGAUAACUUCAGGAAACUGGGGCUAAUACCGGAUAUGAGCUCCUGCUCCAUGGUGGGGGUUGGAAAGUUUCGGAGGUUGGGGAUGGUCUCGCGGCUUAUCAGCUUGUUGGUGGGGUAGUGGCUUUCCAAGGCUUCGACGGGUAGCCGGCCUGAGAGGGUGACCGGCCACAUGGGGACUGAGAUACGGCCCAGACUCGUACGGGAGGCAGCAGUGGGGAAUAUUGCACAAUGGGCGGAAGCCUGAUGCAGCAACGCCGCGUGCGGGAUGACGGCCUUCGGGUUGUAAACCGCUUUCGCCUGUGACGAAGCGUGAGUGACGGUAAUGGGUAAAGAAGCACCGGCUAACUACGUG
Molecule: ribosomal RNA, 468 nt
Filed under: uncultured bacterium
Lineage: Bacteria
Description: partial 16S ribosomal RNA
Rfam family: Bacterial small subunit ribosomal RNA
Source: RNAcentral